Molecule: long non-coding RNA, 903 nt
Filed under: Olea europaea subsp. europaea
Lineage: Eukaryota; Viridiplantae; Streptophyta; Magnoliopsida; Lamiales; Oleaceae
Source: RNAcentral
AUUUUCUCCUGCAAAUAAUUCUUACUUCUUUCUCUCAGACAUGGAAAACGAAUCCGGUCACAAAGUUAUAUAUUUUGACAUUACAAAGAAGGGCGAAGAAGAAGUUGCAUGCCAGAACCCGCUCGUGUCCUCCAUAGUUGAAAUCAUGUAUGUCUUUUCUUGUCAAUCUUGGCUUCACUACACCAAAUUCGAAGACGGCGAACAAGUUGUAACAGAAAUUCCGAAGCGAAAAAUUUGGAAAUAUGUAUACUUGGAACCUCAACGAUCCUUGUCCUAUAGGAAGAUGCGUAAAAUCAUCAAUGAUGCUAUUCGGGUUUGGCCAAUACGUAGUGGCACUCGUAAAAUUUUGUUCAAGGAUGUGUUUUCGAGGACACAGGCAAUGGUAGAAUCAAUUUCUCUAGGACAUUAUGUUUUACAUAUUGAUGUUGAGAUAAACGUGAUUUAUUAUCAUGUUAUAUUUAGUGAAUCACGAAGAUUGCCGCCGUCAGUAGAAGAAAACAAUGAUUAUGAUAUGGUUCCAGCUAGUAAGUCGUCAAUCAAAUCACUGAAGCGGAAGAACCUAAAUGCCGAGAACAAUAAUUGUGAUUAUUGUACAAUAUGCUUGGAAAAGUUCUCCAAAAGAUCUAAAGUUACACAUAUGCCAUGCUCGCAUAUGUUUCAUGGUAAUUGCGUUAGAAAAUGGCUAAAAACGAGUCAUUAUUGUCCAGUUUGCCGUUUCGAGAUGCCAACUAGCUAGAGAUGUGUUGCAUGAUUCGACGGGGAGAUGAAUAUUUUAGGUUUAAAUAUAUAUAGUUCUUUUUCUAAUUUCAAUUUGUAAUGUUUCGAGGGUAUAUUCAAUUUAGACUUUUAAAGAAUUUUAUAUCUUUUUUAUGCGAUGAAUUUUUGUGGAAUUCUUAAAUUUAU